Molecule: ribosomal RNA, 701 nt
Filed under: uncultured bacterium
Lineage: Bacteria
Description: bacterial SSU rRNA
Rfam family: Bacterial small subunit ribosomal RNA
Source: RNAcentral
AAUACCGCAUAACCAUAGUUACCGCAUGGUAACUAUGUAAAAGGUGGCUAUGCUACCGCUUUUGGAUGGGCCCGCGGCGCAUUAGCUAGUUGGUGGGGUAAAGGCGUACCAAGGCAAUGAUGCGUAGCCGAACUGAGAGGUUGAUCGGCCACAUUGGGACUGAGAUACGGCCCAAACUCCUACGGGAGGCAGCAGUAGGGAAUCUUCCACAAUGGGCGAAAGCCUGAUGGAGCAACGCCGCGUGGGUGAAGAAGGUCUUCGGAUCGUAAAACCCUGUUGUUAGAGAAGAAAGUGCGUGAGAGUAACUGUUCACGUUUCGACGGUAUCUAACCAGAAAGCCACGGCUAACUACGUGCCAGCAGCCGCGGUAAUACGUAGGUGGCAAGCGUUAUCCGGAUUUAUUGGGCGUAAAGGGAACGCAGGCGGUCUUUUAAGUCUGAUGUGAAAGCCUUCGGCUUAACCGGAGCAGUGCAUUGGAAACUGGGAGACUUGAGUGCAGAAGAGGAGAGUGGAACUCCAUGUGUAGCGGUGAAAUGCGUAGAUAUAUGGAAGAACACCAGUGGCGAAAGCGGCUCUCUGGUCUGUAACUGACGCUGAGGUUCGAAAGCGUGGGUAGCAAACAGGAUUAGAUACCCUGGUAGUCCACGCCGUAAACGAUGAAUGCUAAGUGUUGGAGAGUUUCCGCCCUUCAGUGCUGCAGC